CCUAUUUAAUCGCCUAGGUGCCUAUUUUCGCAGCGAAGCAAGAGGAAAGCACCGCGCAUGUUUCUAUCGGAUCGAUACGAAUCGAUUUCCGAUAACAUUGAACAGCAGUUGGUCAGGAAACGGCUCGAAGGGCGGAUGGCGCGCCGCUAGUAAGGUUAUUCCCACUUUUAAGUGACGGGAUUGAAACAAAUUUUCGAUGGAAAUCAAAUAAUUAGAAGGAAAUCAAGCGUUAGCUAAUCCCAUCUACAAAACUAGAUAACCAAAGUUAAACAUCUCUUUGGACUUCUUCACAUAACAGAAGUGGAUAUUCCGGCGUGCCUGCCUUGUUUCAAUCCCGUAACUUAGUUAUUUAGUCACACAACGUGACUCUAUCACGUUGAUUAUGUACUACCUAGUUAGAUUGCUAGCCACUCUGUGAUGGUUUAUCCCUAGAGUGGGCUGUUUUUGUUGGAUAAUACACCAUACCGGAUUUUAUUACAACCAGCAUCUUCACCCAGGACCUUGCAGUAGGACUUACUCACCACAGCAGCCAACCGUUUUAUCGUGCCAAAAGGGAAUUUCCUACGGAAUUCAUCUCUAUGGACUUGCAACCCUACUUUUAACCGACUGUUGUGUAAAAGCUAAGUUUAUUUACUUUUUCAUUAUUUACUUUUGGGUAAGAUAUAUUUGCUACAUUGUAAACUUUUCGUAUGCAUACGAUUAGGAAGAGUACAUAUAUUUUCGUGAUAGACAGGGUUUUAGGUCGUUGGUUUUUUUUUGAUUUAAUAUAAGUAGUAGUUUUAAAUAAAUAAAAUCAGGUCUUGUUUAAUAAUCAUCAAUAAUUGUAUCUUAAAAUUUAAUAGGGAAUCGGGUUGUAAAAUUUUGUCGCGGAUUUUAAAUAGGGAAUACGUCUCGUAGGUUUUUUUUUUGUAAAAUAUAUAAAGAGUCACUGACCAACUCAUUUAUAUAGACCUUUUUGCUAUUCCAACGGACUUUUGAUUUGGAUUUUGAUUUUAAUACUUUUGCUUGGCCAGUGAUAGUGGAUAAUUGCUUGUUGAGUGGCCUUUGCGGUCCUAUUUUAUCUUUUCCCCAUCCUCUAUCACUGUUAUUACGUUGCGUUAUAUGUAAAGUGUUAACAUUUAAUAUUUAUUAUUAAUAUAUUUGUAUGUAUUAA
RNAcentral lists this long non-coding RNA (1153 nucleotides) under Diabrotica virgifera virgifera (western corn rootworm). Its description in RNAcentral is "uncharacterized LOC126884451". The record is from RNAcentral. Lineage: Eukaryota; Metazoa; Arthropoda; Insecta; Coleoptera; Chrysomelidae.